CCUACGGGUGGCAGCAGUGAGGAAUAUUGGUCAAUGGGCGAGAGCCUGAACCAGCCAAGUCGCGUGAGGGAGUACUGCCCUAUGGGUUGUAAACCUCUUUUGUCGGGGAGCAAAAGCCGGACGUGUCCGGCUGUGAGAGUACCCGAAGAAAAAGCAUCGGCUAACUCCGUGCCAGCAGCCGCGGUAAUACGGAGGAUGCGAGCGUUAUCCGGAUUUAUUGGGUUUAAAGGGUGCGCAGGCGGAUGUUUAAGUCAGCGGUAAAAUCGUGGGGCUCAACCCCAUCCAGCCGUUGAAACUGGGGAUCUAGAGUGUGCGAGAGGUAGGCGGAAUGCGUGGUGUAGCGGUGAAAUGCAUAGAUAUCACGCAGAACCCCGAUUGCGAAGGCAGCAUACCGGUGCACAACUGACGCUCAGGCACGAAAGCGUGGGUAUCGAACAGGAUUAGAUACCCGAGUAGUC
Molecule: ribosomal RNA, 458 nt
Filed under: uncultured bacterium
Lineage: Bacteria
Description: partial 16S ribosomal RNA
Rfam family: Bacterial small subunit ribosomal RNA
Source: RNAcentral